GCCCAAGAACAAAAGUCUUGGUCCUGAACCUACCACUACCUGACCCCAAAACUAUACAUGCAAGCCUCAACAAAACAGUGAGUAGCCCACCAAAUCACAAAAGAAAAAAUGGAGCGCAUAUAAGAACAUGGCUCGCCCCAGUCAAAAUAAAAGGAAAACCCACACCUUCACAGGAACACAGCAGUAAUUAACAUUAGGCCAUGAGCGAAAGCUUGACCUAGUUAUGGGAACAAAAGCCGGUAAAACUCGUGCCAGCUACCGCGGUUAUACGAGAGGCUUAAGAUAGCACCACACCGGCGAAAACAUGACCAGAGCACAUCAACAAGCCUAAGAAGAAAGGAAAAACAAGCCGUCCAACGCUAAGAGAAAACGAAUCCACUACCUUAUACACCCGACCCCUUAAAGCAUAAAAGCUGGGAAACAAACUAGGAUUAGACACCCUACUAUGCCCAGCCGUAAGAGGCCAAACCACGCCCGCCAGACAAAUACGAGCGAAAGCUUAAAACUCAAAGGACUUGACGGCACCCCACAUCACCCUAGAGGAGCCUGUCCUAUAAUCGACAACCCCCGCUAAAACCUCACCGCCCCUUGCCAACCAGUCUAUAUACCGCCGUCGUCAGCUCACCCUGCAAAAGAACAAAAGUGGGCAAAACAGUUUAUGCACUAAAACGACAGGUCAAAGCGUAGCACAUGGGGCGGGCUGAGAUGGGCUACAUUUUCUAAAGCAGAAUACACAAAAAAUCGCAUGAAAAACGCCAAAAAGGCGGAUUUAGCAGUAAGACGGGACAGAAAAGCACGUCUGAACGUCGCACCGGGAUGCGCACACACCGCCCGUCACCCCCCUCUACCAGCAAGAAAUCAUUCAUAAAAUCACCGCAUUAAAAAGAUGGGGAAAGUCGUAACAAGGUGAGCGCACUGGAAAGUGUGCUCGUAUAC
This 936-nucleotide non-coding RNA is filed under the name Leptotyphlops conjunctus. RNAcentral's name for it is "partial 12S ribosomal RNA". It matches the Rfam family "Bacterial small subunit ribosomal RNA". Lineage: Eukaryota; Metazoa; Chordata; Lepidosauria; Squamata; Leptotyphlopidae. The record is from RNAcentral.